UACGUAGGGUGCCAGCGUUGUCCGGAAUUAUUGGGCGUAAAGAGCUCGUAGGCGGUUUGUCGCGUCUGCUGUGAAAACGCGAGGCUCAACCUCGCGCCUGCAGUGGGUACGGGCAGACUAGAGUGCGGUAGGGGAGAUUGGAAUUCCUGGUGUAGCGGUGGAAUGCGCAGAUAUCAGGAGGAACACCGAUGGCGAAGGCAGAUCUCUGGGCCGUAACUGACGCUGAGGAGCGAAAGCGUGGGGAGCGAACAGG
RNAcentral lists this ribosomal RNA (253 nucleotides) under uncultured bacterium. RNAcentral describes it as "partial 16S ribosomal RNA". It matches the Rfam family "Bacterial small subunit ribosomal RNA", at positions 524 to 776 of the family's 1533-position model. The record is from RNAcentral.